GGCCGGCUCACGUGGGGGACGAAUGCAGACGAAUGGCCGGUUGGUCAGUGGUCUGUGCCUUUGUGUUUGUUUUUAUGUAGAAUAUCAACGGCGUUGUGCUAAUGGCGCUUAUACGAGGUCGAAGUUGGUGCGACCAAGAACCCGUUUUGCACGCUGAGACUUCGCAUGGGAGGCAAAACUUGUCGUUACGGCACCACGGCAGUAAAUACAGCCCGUUCGACGACAA
This 226-nucleotide long non-coding RNA is filed under the name Amphibalanus amphitrite. RNAcentral describes it as "uncharacterized LOC122385089". The record is from RNAcentral. Lineage: Eukaryota; Metazoa; Arthropoda; Thecostraca; Balanomorpha; Balanidae.